GAUGAACGCUAGCGGGAGGCCUAAUACAUGCAAGUCGAACGGUAAAUGGUAGCAAUACUAUGAGAGUGGCGUACGGGUGCGUAACGCGUACACAACCUGCCUUGUACUGGGGGAUAGCCUCGGGAAACUGAGAUUAAUACCCCAUAAUUUUACGAUGUGGCAUCACAUUGUAAUUAAAGCUCCGGCGGUACAAGAUGGGUGUGCGUCCGAUUAGGUAGUUGGUGAGGUAACGGCUCACCAAGCCGACGAUCGGUAGCUGGUCUGAGAGGACGAUCAGCCACACGGGCACUGAGACACGGGCCCGAAUCCUACGGGAGGCAGCAGUAGGGAAUAUUGGACAAUGGACGCAAGUCUGAUCCAGCCAUCCCGCGUGAAGGAUUAAGGCCCUCUGGGUUGUAAACUUCUUUUCUUUGGGAAUAAAAAGCGGUAUUCAUAUCGCCUUGAAGGUACCAGGGGAAUAAGCACCGGCUAACUCCGUGCCAGCCGCCGCCGUAA
This 495-nucleotide ribosomal RNA is filed under the name uncultured bacterium. Its description in RNAcentral is "partial 16S ribosomal RNA". It matches the Rfam family "Bacterial small subunit ribosomal RNA", at positions 28 to 523 of the family's 1533-position model. The record is from RNAcentral.